AAAAAAAAAGGGAAUCCUAGUUACUAGAUAGUGGUGUUCAAAAAUAAUCACCUUCUAAUUUCUUCAAUCUGGUCAUGGUCAUGAAUUUGCUUGUGAGAUUUGUCUUCUUUGCAAUCAACGGAGGAGGAGAUGAGAUACUGCUGCUGCCUCUGUUGCAUCAUUGUCCACUACCAUCACUGCUGAAAAUGGAAGAGCGACAUUUUGGGGCACCAAUAGAUGAGACGAGAGUUGUUGGUGUGGCUGUUGGACUGGUAGUGGGAAUUGUGGUGCCUGAUGAUUUCUACUUCCACUUCCUCGCAGGGUCGUUGAACAUGGGCCAUUGCUGUCAAGAAGAGAUUGAUGGGUUUAAGGUAGUGACAGAGUCACUUGGUGCUUGGCUGUGACUUGUGAGGGAGUGAGGGAAGUGGGUUUGAAUGAGUGAGGAGCAAAGGAGGGAGAUGAGUUUGAGGUAGUGAGGGUGAUGGCAUUUUGGAAGAAGCAGAUUAGGGAUUUGUUUUUAAGAAGGGAUGAAAUUACUUAAAUAACCUGAAUUCCUCCAAACACAAUGUUUUGAAAGAUUCAAUUUUUUUCCCCCCAAUAUUUUUCUUUAAAAACUGAACCGAUUAAACCAAUUUUUCAAAAUUUUAUGACCAAACUGAAUUGUCUAAAAAACCAAGCUGAAUUUUGAAAUUGGUUCGGUCAUUUAUUUCAGUUUAAACCAAAAUCUAAUCACUCCUACUGGCACAUGAUUGGGGGUUAGAAAAGGCAUCAGUGCAUGGCUGCAUGUGGAAGAUGCUUCGGAGACGGGAUUUCAUCUUAAGACUGAUCAGUGGUAGGGGCAGUGAGGUUAUAUGACCCUCAACAGCCUACUAACUGGAAUGGCAGGCAGGUAUGCUUUUCUCGGAAAAGAAGAAUAACUGAUGCCAUGAAGAAAAAGGGGAGAGAAAGGAAUGAAAAAGGAGUUCUAGAGAAAUAUUGCUUGAUUAUUGUCUCAAGCCUCUGGGUACAUAUAUUGUUGAUGCAGAUUCAAUAGAAAAACAAAGAGAAUUGAAGAAGAGAGAACAUUUCAGGAAGAAGAAUAGAAAAAUAGAGAAGAAUCCAAGAGAGGAGAGUUUUCAUUCAAUCAAUACACACUAAUUACAAUAGAGUCAACUCCUUAUAUGGAGAUUAUAGUAACUGACUGCCAGCUAGCUCACUAACUAUUUGAACAUUUACAAUAAAUUUGCAACUAAUUUAACAUCUUAAC
Molecule: unclassified non-coding RNA, 1225 nt
Filed under: Hevea brasiliensis (rubber tree)
Lineage: Eukaryota; Viridiplantae; Streptophyta; Magnoliopsida; Malpighiales; Euphorbiaceae
Source: RNAcentral